GGGACGAACGCUGGCGGCGUGCUUAACACAUGCAAGUCGAGCGGUAAGGCCUUUCGGGGUACACGAGCGGCGAACGGGUGAGUAACACGUGGGUGAUCUGCCCUGCACUUCGGGAUAAGCCUGGGAAACUGGGUCUAAUACCGGAUAUGACCUCCUAUCGCAUGGUGGGUGGUGGAAAGAUUUAUCGGUGCAGGAUGGGCCCGCGGCCUAUCAGCUUGUUGGUGGGGUAAUGGCCUACCAAGGCGACGACGGGUA
RNAcentral lists this ribosomal RNA (255 nucleotides) under uncultured soil bacterium. RNAcentral's name for it is "partial 16S ribosomal RNA". It matches the Rfam family "Bacterial small subunit ribosomal RNA", at positions 27 to 285 of the family's 1533-position model. The record is from RNAcentral.